RNAcentral lists this ribosomal RNA (560 nucleotides) under uncultured fungus. Its description in RNAcentral is "eukaryotic LSU rRNA". It matches the Rfam family "Eukaryotic large subunit ribosomal RNA", at positions 78 to 628 of the family's 3401-position model. Lineage: Eukaryota; Fungi. The record is from RNAcentral.
CCCUAGUAACGGCGAGUGAAGCGGGAAAAGCUCAACUUUGUAAUCUGGCUGUUUCACAGUCCGAGUUGUAGUCUCGAGAAACGAAAUCCGCGCCGGACCUUAGACAUGUCUGUUGGAAUACAGUGUCAAAGAGGGUGAGAAUCCCGUACAUACUAAGGACGACCGUGUGCAUUGUGAUCCGUUUUCAAAGAGUCGAGUUGUUUGGGAAUGCAGCUCAAAUCUGGUGGUAAACUCCAUCUAAAGCUAAAUAUUGGCGAGAGACCGAUAGCGAACAAGUACCGUGAGGGAAAGAUGAAAAGCACUUUGGAAAGAGAAUGAAACAGUAUGUGAAAUUGCUGGAAGGGAAACGUUUGAGGUUAGACUUGCUUUUGUGGUAUUCAGCCUUCGGGUGUAUUUGCCAUUUUAUGCAGGCCAGCAUCAGUUUCAGCCGUUGUAAAAGGGUAGAGAGAACGUAGCUUGUUCGCAAGUGUUAUAGCUCUUUACUGGAUGCAAAGGUUCAGACUGAGGAACGCAGCGCGCCGCAAGGUCAAGCUUUCAAGCUUAAAGCGCUUAGGAUGCUG